RNAcentral lists this ribosomal RNA (252 nucleotides) under uncultured bacterium. Its description in RNAcentral is "partial 16S ribosomal RNA". It matches the Rfam family "Bacterial small subunit ribosomal RNA", at positions 524 to 775 of the family's 1533-position model. The record is from RNAcentral.
UACGGAGGGUGCGAGCGUUGUCCGGAAUCACUGGGCGUAAAGGGCGCGUAGGCGGCGCGGAUAGUCGGCGGUGAAAGCCCGGAGCUCAACUCCGGGUCGGCCGUCGAUACUUCUGGGCUUGAGCACUGUAGAGGCAGAUGGAAUUCCGGGUGUAGCGGUGGAAUGCGUAGAGAUCCGGAAGAACACCGGUGGCGAAGGCGGUCUGCUGGGCAGUUGCUGACGCUGAUGCGCGACAGCGUGGGGAGCAACAGG